GUUCAUUUUGACCGGUUUCUUUCGAGGCGAGCAAGGGGGUCCAACUCUAAAUUGCCUCUUGUUGAUCCAACUCUACCGAAGCUGCAAGGUGAUGUUGAAGCUUCUUUGAGUUGGUGUCCCAGUGUUUUUUGAAUUCAUUGAUCUUCUUUUCAAUUGUUUGGGCUUGAUUUUCUUGGCUGGUUUUGUUUUUUAAUUUCUUCUUCAUUCAUCCGUGAAUUAAUAGUUGUAAAUGCUACCGACACCGCCAAUCUAUAAAUAUAACUAUCCUUUCUUGUUGCAGUACACAAA
Molecule: non-coding RNA, 288 nt
Organism: Camellia sinensis
Lineage: Eukaryota; Viridiplantae; Streptophyta; Magnoliopsida; Ericales; Theaceae
Source: RefSeq, a predicted model, not a curated record